UGAACAUGUUUCUUUCAUAACUACUAAAAAUAAAUAAAUGAAUGAGCUGAUAUAUUGGGUGGAAAAAUGCACAUCGGAAUUUGCAAGUUUCACAUUUUGGGCUAAUUUGAUGGGAAGUAAACAAGUGUGACGGGAUAUAAUAAAAUAAAAUAAAAUUUUAAUAGAAUAAUUUAUUUUGUUAUAUUACACUAUAUUCAAUUAUAUCUUUCCCAAAAAUGCACUUGUAGAUGUCAGAAAAAUUAAUUACAUUUAGAAAUUUUAAACCUUUCUGCAAGCCUAAAUUGAG
Molecule: unclassified non-coding RNA, 286 nt
Filed under: Hevea brasiliensis (rubber tree)
Lineage: Eukaryota; Viridiplantae; Streptophyta; Magnoliopsida; Malpighiales; Euphorbiaceae
Source: RNAcentral